UCGACGUACAGGGAAAGCAUUACAUUUCCCAAUGCAAAUUUGGAGCAGAUUUGGGCUGUACAUUCCAUUUGCAGCGUCAGAAAGUAAACUUUUCCUCUAUGGAGUUGAAUUGUACCUAUGCAUUUUCCCAGUCUCUCAGUAGUCUCAUUGACAAUGACUGAUGGGAAGACCAUGCAUGUUACAUUG
RNAcentral lists this small nucleolar RNA (186 nucleotides) under Hofstenia miamia. Its description in RNAcentral is "small nucleolar RNA SNORA73 family". Lineage: Eukaryota; Metazoa; Xenacoelomorpha; Acoela; Hofsteniidae. The record is from RNAcentral.